Molecule: long non-coding RNA, 751 nt
Organism: Xenia sp. Carnegie-2017
Lineage: Eukaryota; Metazoa; Cnidaria; Anthozoa; Malacalcyonacea; Xeniidae
Exons: 2
Source: RefSeq, a predicted model, not a curated record
CACUCUGAAGUGGCAACUGAGAAGAACGGCUACUUCCUAGUGUAAACUCCAUUUAUAUAAAUGGCACUCUUCAUAACGCUGUAAUCCGGAGGAGUUGUACUACGACGAUGACGUUGCUGAUGACGUCAAGGCGAAUUGAAGAAAACACGUUUCAAGUCAAAGAUCAGCUAGACGAUAUUCAUGAAAUGUUGACCAAAGUAUGCUCAGGUGAUUCUUUUGAAUACAGGUUUGAAACCGAUCUCCACGCACGAACCCGUACAGUUAAUGAACUUCACAGAGAACAGCUGAACACGGCCAAUAAAAUGGAAAGAGAAGUCGGGGAGAUCAAGUUGCUCUUAAGCAGUUGGCUUUAAAACGCGAUACAAAAACGCAUCGAAAACAUUCGCGCGUGCAAAAUUCCGAAACUCCGCCGGCAAAUCACGAAGAUGAAAAAAUACUGAUGAUCACUAAAAUCAUCAUAGUUAAAAUACGCACCCUGCAUCACUGUGGUAUCGUUGCUAAUGCAUUUUGGAAAGGUACUGUUUAUAUGUUUUACAGUUAUUUUGAAAUUUUGCCCCAAAGAAAAAUCAUUUGGUGGAGCAUUUUUUAACAAAUGCAACAUUUCACUGAGCUCAUCUUUACGAUUGCGACAUGAGCUCACACUUCGACAGAUAUUCGUUGAUGAGCAUUGUCGAAUGCGAAACGAAUUGCGCAAUGUAGAAGAAGGCAUGUGCAAACAACUUUAUUGUUUAAUUUAAAACGUUGACUAGGA